Molecule: ribosomal RNA, 553 nt
Filed under: uncultured bacterium
Lineage: Bacteria
Description: bacterial SSU rRNA
Rfam family: Bacterial small subunit ribosomal RNA
Source: RNAcentral
AGUGGGGAAUAUUGCGCAAUGGGCGAAAGCCUGACGCAGCGACGCCGCGUGGGUGAUGAAGGCCUUCGGGUCGUAAAGCCCUGUCUGGUGGAACGAAACGCCUGGCGGCCAAUACCCGCNGGGUUUGACGGUACCACCGAAGGAAGCCCCGGCUAACUACGUGCCAGCAGCCGCGGUAANACGUAGGGGGCGAGCGUUGUUCGGAUUUACUGGGCGUAAAGCGCGCGUAGGCGGCCAGAUAAGUCGGGUGUGAAAGCCCUCGGCUCAACCGAGGUUCCGCAUCCGAUACUGCUUGGCUGGAGUCUAGGAGAGGAGAGCGGAAUUCCCAGUGUAGCGGUGAAAUGCGUAGAUAUUGGGAGGAACACCCGUGGCGAAGGCGGCUCUCUGGACUAGUACUGACGCUGAGGCGCGAAAGCUAGGGGAGCGAACGGGAUUAGAUACCCCGGUAGUCCUAGCCGUAAACGAUGGGCACUAGGUGUGGGAGGUAUUGACCCCUUCCGCGCCGAAGCUAACGCAUUAAGUGCCCCGCCUGGGGAGUACGGCCGCAAGGCUA